Long non-coding RNA from Myzus persicae (green peach aphid), 1110 nucleotides. RefSeq lists it as uncharacterized. The transcript has 2 exons. Lineage: Eukaryota; Metazoa; Arthropoda; Insecta; Hemiptera; Aphididae. The record is from RefSeq and is a predicted model, not a curated record.
AAAUGUAAUUCCAAAAGCCAAAUUUUUUCCAAUUAAAUGACAAGUGAUAGCGUUAAAUAAAAAUUGCUCAGUUUAAUUUCUGUAUAAAAUCCUGGAUGGGCGAUAAUAAGCCUUUCACUAAAAAAUUACUUUUCUCUUUCACCUGACAACAAUUGAAUUAUUUUUGUCCACGAUUUCACUUUAACAUUUUUGGAAGCCCUGCUUCAAAAUUAUUUAUGUUUGAUAUUAUAUUAUAAACAUUAAAGCAUAUUUAACUGAUAACGAUAUACUAAUACAGUUUUACGAGUAAUAGCGUGUAUCGGAUGUACGACAAUUUUAUGUUACUUUAAAAAAAAUAGAGCUAGGUAAAUACAUUACUAAAUAAGUAGCUACAGUACUAAAAGGCACCUAACAAGAUUAAUUUUUAGUUACAAAAAAUCAAAAGUGGUUGCGUUAAAUUACUUUUUUUAACUCUAAUGUAAUUAGUUACAACGCCGUUACUUUCAACAUUUUUAAAUAUAUAAAACUAAAAAUAACAUCAAGUAAAAUAGACAGUGGUGAGAUACAGCAUGCAGUAUAUAGUACCUAUCUUCUAAGUCAUUAUUUCAAUGCAAUAGUUUUGAUCAAAAUUUGACAAUAUCAAAGUAUUUAAGGUUUCUAAAUAUUUAGAGACAUAAUGAUAGAUGUGUUAGAGCUUCACAGAAAUACAGAAUAUAUUUGAGUAUCGCGUACACGUUUUCUGGUCACAACGUAAUAAUAAAACCUACUGUAACUUAACAACGAUUCGUUUUAUUUGAAAAUAAUCGUAUCUUCAACAAUGACUCAAACAUAAUAAUUAAGUGUGUGUACAUUAUAUUAUUUAGAUAACAUUGAAUCAAAAAGUGACUAAGUUUACGAUAACACCAACUCUUUAAGUGGAGUAGGAGUGUAAGACAUAGCAAAAUAUAUUAUGAUAUUAAAUUUAUGAAUAAAUCGAAAACAAUAUUGAGGAUAAAGAAAGAAUUGAACGAUCCAGAGCAGUGGGUGUUCUUACCAAUUCGGCGAUCCUUAAGAGCAUCAACAUGUUGACGGAAGACGUUGGACGGUGGCGAUGGGUAAGUAUGUAUUAUAUGUGUAAAAUAAUAUGAAUAU